RNAcentral lists this transfer RNA (87 nucleotides) under Escherichia coli. RNAcentral describes it as "tRNA-Ser". Lineage: Bacteria; Pseudomonadati; Pseudomonadota; Gammaproteobacteria; Enterobacterales; Enterobacteriaceae. The record is from RNAcentral.
GGUGAGGUGUCCGAGUGGCUGAAGGAGCACGCCUGGAAAGUGUGUAUACGGCAGCGUAGCGGGGGGUCAAUCCCCCCCUCACCGCCA